Molecule: long non-coding RNA, 18140 nt
Filed under: Capsicum annuum
Lineage: Eukaryota; Viridiplantae; Streptophyta; Magnoliopsida; Solanales; Solanaceae
Description: long non-coding RNA (CANN_LNC014692)
Source: RNAcentral
AGGUAGGCUCCAUUGGCCCAUGAUGGACAUGAGAAGGGAAGAGAGUCCGUGUGGGACUCGAGUGUACCCAUAUGCAAAAAGGAAAAAUAAAGAAAUUAAAGUAUGCUCAAAUGUGUAUAAAGACUAGGAUACAUUGAAGGGACUGCCACUAAUCGUAAAAGCAAGCAACACUGAAAAUUUAAAUUAAACAUUGGUAUUAAUAAAAUGAACAAAAAGGCCAAAAUUUGACAUUUGAACUAAAUUCAUGAAAAAGGCUAUCAUUUAUGCUAGACCUGAUGCGGCAAAAAUAAGUAUAGAGAAUCUACAGAAAUGUGAGAAAAUUACCCCCUUAUCUUUUAAACAAAUAUCAAUGAUUAAACAAAUACCAAUAAAUCAAGACAGGGAAGUUCGGAGAAAAAUCCCAUCAGGAAAUAUCUAAAGCAAGACAUUCAAAUAGUAGUUCAAACAAGGAUAGAAGAAAAUUGCAGAUUCAGUGAUAAAGAAAGAUUUUUUCCGGACGAACAACAAAUAAAUAAAAGGAAAUUAUGAAGGGUUGCAAAAUAUUUUGCCAAUUUCGGACUUAGCAUGCACUUGUUUGAAGCUUGCUAUCAUUUUUCACUAAGGAAAAAAUCUUAUAGAACCUUAGAAUCAAGCUAUUCAAGCAGACAAUGCACCCACGCCAAACAAAAUUGAUUCGAAAUCACCCUAAGCUUUUCUCUACAUUAACAUUCCUAAAGGUCCAUAGUAUUAUAGUAUUUUAACUACUUCUUCCAAAGAAAUAUCAUGGACAUAAAAAUUGCAAUGUAAUGCAUUAUUCAUAUCAAAAUAGGGAAAAGAAGACUUGAUACAAUCGAAUAAAAACCCAAGUUUUUAAUCAAAUGAAAGAGGUUCAAGUAGGGAUUCGUAGAAUGGUAACAAGAUUAAGUCAAGUAGAAAAUGAAAGGAGAUCACUAAAUCCUAAAAGAAAACAAACAAUUGAGAUAUAACGAAGAACAUUCAGCAACAAGAUUACGAUUAUUCGAAAAGCACCAACAUGUUCAUCAUAGAAUCCUACAGCUUAUCAAAGCCCUUAACAACAGGCUAUUCCCAAAGGAUACAACAGAUACCCCUAGAAAAACAAAGUUACAAUGAUGACUAUAGCAACUAUAAAGGAAAAAGAGAUGAGGAAGAAAACGAUCAAAUCAGGAGGAAAACAAAGUGUGUUUACCUAUUUAAAAGAAGCAAAUGGGAUGGCGAGCUAAGGUAGAGAUACGCAGCCUCCACAAAAUGACGUCUUCAUCACCUCAAACCCUCAAUCAAUCAACUAACCCUCGAGGCUUCCGAUUAAACAGUUCGCUUUCAAAGAAGCAGAAGCGAGAUAACCUUACUAAAGAUGAUGAUGCUCUAAAAAGUUUUCUUCUCCUUUAUUUCUUUCCAGAAUUUUUCAACCUAAAUUCCCCCUAAAAAAUCUUUUUAUUUUGAACCAAAAUCAACCAAAAACCCAAUUUUUGAACCUAACCCAGAAAGAAAAGAGAAGAACCCCCUAAAAUUUUCGCACCCCCUUUCGACCCUAAUUUUUGACUCCCCAAAAAAAUCCCCUAACAAUGACCCAAAUGGGUUCUUAUAUAGAAGAAAGAUUGGGGUAUUUUAGAGACUUAAGAAAUAGGAUCUUUUGAAUUCAUGUUUCGGAUAGGAAUUUCCAGCUAACAAACUUGUACAAGUUUUGAUUCUUCAGAGAAUUUCGAAUUGGUUUUAACCAAUAGGAAGAAAUGUAGAAAUCCCCCCCUCCCUCAAAAAAACCAAUGAAAUUCUCCCAUCUUUGUACAAAUUCAUACCUUCUCAGCUAAGAAUAGCGGUAUUGAAAUCGUUGGAGAGGCCAACACAUUGAUUUAUAGAAGUUUCUUAGCAUUUUCAUAACAAACACAUGCCAUCCAGGUGGGUCAAAGUUGGGUCGAUGCUAGGAGGAUAUUUUUUGCUAAAUUUUGGGUUAAAGGUAACGAGUCAGGUCGCGAAGUUAAUGGAUUUUAGUCGGGUUUUGGCUUGUUGAAGUUGUAUGUUGUUGAAUGGUUGUUGGAAGAUGCUGAAGGAUAUAAAAUGGAUUGUUGAUGCUGGGAUAGGUCGGUUAUGUGUUUGGGCCAAGUGGAAUUGUUGUAAUUACUGUUGGUGGUGUGAAAUUGGGCCUUGGUUGGUUUUGGAGCAAUUGAGCCUUAAAUUGGGGUUAUUUAAUAACCCCUAUUAAAUCUAAUUGGGUUAUUAAAUAAUCUUAAUUAAAUUUAAUUAGAUUAAAAAAAUUACAAUUAAAUUUUAUUGGAUUAAGAAUAACUCAAAUUAGAUUUAAUCGGAUUAAAAUAAUCCCAAUUAAAAAUGGUAACUGGGGAUUAAGAUUAUAAUUUAGGCAACUUAUUUAAACUCUAACCAAAUUGAAUAUCUCAUCGCUCAAUUGCUUUACAAUUGGGGCCAAUUUGAUAUCAAUUAGAGUCAAAUUUAAUAAAUUGACUAAAUCAAAUCGAAAUUCGAUAUGAAUUAACACCUUGUUUAAUCUUCGGCUUCUUGAUUCGAUAAAAUUGAAUAAAUAUUUCUCCAAAUAGAUUAUUUUUUAGAAUAAAUCAUAUUUAAAUCAAGAUUUCAACCAUUUGAAUUUAUUUUCAAAAUAAUCCUUGAUUAAAAUUUGAUAUUUCAUAAAAUAGUUAUUUAAGUAUCAAAAUUACAUAAUUUUGUAUAAUUGAAUACGAUAAUGUAUAAUCGUCUCUUAAAAUGACAAACUUUCCCAAAUGAAUAUUUUGUGAAAGUUUCUUUUUAGAUGAAGCAACUAUGUUGAUUUUAUUAAAAACUGAAGAAGCUCAAAAUUAAACUUGGUUGUGGAGGGCAAAAAUUAGGUGUCAACAACUGCCCUCUCCCUUUGGGUAGGAUGGAUGCAAGUAAUCUGGGCUAAGGUAGGUUGACAUUCUUAAUUUUUUGUUCGACCACAAAUUCGUAUCUAAGAGAGGUUGAUUUUUUGCACGAGUUUCAUGGAGUUAUGGCCUAACUUCGGUAUCAGGUUUUCUACAUAUCUCAGGUUUAAUGAGAAUUCAGGCCACUUGUAGUUCAUAAAUCUUGAUUUUAAGCAUGAUUUUCAAGAAAAUUCACCAACUAUCAUGAUUUUAGAGUUUUUGGUUAAAUCGAGAAGCUCAAAUAAAGGGAUUCGGGGGAGGUUGGAAUGCAGUCGAGUUUUCUACACAGAACCCGGCCUAUAUCCCCAAGAUUUUAGGAAAUCAGACUGCUUGUAGUUUGACUUGAUUGGUAGAAAAGAUAAUGUUCUUUUUCAGACGAUCUUUGGCUCGGGAUGAGUGACAAGUUAAUGAUCGAGUUGUGGAAAAGAGGCUUAUAACCUCUUAACCAUGAAUGUGGGAUCCUUCACAUCCAUAGGUAAGAACUUACUUGGACAUAAUUUCCAAAACUCUAGGUGUGUUGUCUCCCGAAUUUAAAGAAAAAGACGAUUACCCUCGACAUGAGUUGAGAAAUAUCCCAGAGGCGAAGAUGAAACUACAAUAUAUUGAGAUACCCACAUUUCUUCUAAUAGGGGUAUGGUUGGAUGGUGGUGGUGCUCAUCCUUUAGAUGCGUCCAAAGAGUUUGACAUCCCUCUUUAGACUAUAUCCCAUUUUGCUGCUAAGAAAGAGUUCCACGUUGUGCGGCAUCCUUUUUGGAGUCAUCCACACCUUUGGCUUUGAUUUGAGGUGUUUGUCCUCUCAGAUGCUCUCAACAAUGCUUUAAGAAAAAGUGUUAGUGAUAAACAUAAUUCACGAAAGAGGUAUGUAGUUUUUUACCAUAUCUCCACGUGAGUUGUGACCUGAAAAGCGGAGUCAUCUCUUCAUGUACCUAUUUGGAAUGAAAUAACUGGCAAAAACAAACACAACAACCCUCUUGGUUUUUGUAUAAUUAUGAUAUUUGUCGGUUGAAUAUGUCUUUAGAGUGAGGUGGCCCUUUUGGACACCGACAAUACUUUAUGCAGAACGGUCUCUACAACCGUGUAAUCUUGUGCUGGUGUGGAAACCCUUUUGGUUACCUAUACCACUUAUUGUAUAUGGAAUGAUAAGCUCUCUGAUUAUAGCCAAUGAUCAAUUUAUAAAUUUCCCUUAAAUUGUCAAUCUUUGGAUAAUCUUGCACAUUAUUUGAUGUUGGAUACGAGGUGACUUAUAGAUAUCCUUUGAAUUGAUAGCUUUUAGGUAAUCCUGCACAUUAUCCAACCUUGGAUAAGAGAUGGCUUACAAAUAUCCCUCCAAUUGCUAGCUUUUAGGUGUUCCUGCAUAUCAUCCGACCUUGGAUACAAUAUGAAUCACUCAAAUUGCUAGUCCUUGGGUAAUUCUGCACAUAAUUGAUCUUGGAUAUGACACGGCUUAUAGAGAGCCCUUGGACGUAUCAAUUUGAUAAUCUCUAUUCUCCGAUAAGGAUUUAGUUGCGACUUAUGGAUAACCUUUAGGCUAUCAAUUUUUGGGUAAUAUUACACACUAUUCGAUUAGGAUAUUGUUGUGGUUUAUGGAUGACUUACGGGCUAACAACUCAUAGGUGAUCUUGCAAACUAUCCUAUUUCAAAUAAUAUGACUUAUAGAUGACCUUCAAAUUAUCAAUUUCUAGGAAAUGUCAUCUAUCAUUCAUCUUUAGACACCGACUUAAAGGCAUCCCUUUAAAUUAUAUGCUCAUGAUGCAUUUAGAUACUGAUUUAUUAAAUGAUGAGAUAUCCUCGAUGCCAGCAUUUGUGUCUAGCGUGUCAACAGAUAUUAAAUGCUGAUGAUAUCCUCGACGCCAGCAUUUAUGUCUCGAGUGUCAACAGAUAUUAAAUAUUGAUGAUAUCCUUGAUGCCGGAAUUUAUGUCUUUCAUGUCAAAAGAUACGAAAUACUGAUGAUAUCCUCGAUGCCAACAUUUAUGUCUUACGUGUCAACAGAUAUGAAAUGCUGAUGAUAUCCUUGAUGCCAGGGUUUAUGUCUUGCAUGUCAACAGAUAUGAAAUGCUGAUGAUAUCUUCGAAGCUAGUGUUUAUGCCUUCCUUGGCAACAAAUAUUGAAUGGCCUUUCUGGCAUAAAAUAGACUUCUCAGCGAUGAUAUGAAUGGCCCUCUUGGCAAUGAUAUGAAAUGACCCUCUUGGCAAUGAUAUGAAUGGCCCUCUUGGCAAUGAUAUGCAAUGGCCCUCUUGGCAAUGGUAUGAAAUGGACCUCUUGGCAAUGAUAUGAAAUGGCCCUCUUGGCAAUGAUAUGAAAUGGCCCUCUUGGUAAUUAUAUGCAAUGGCCCUCUGGGCUAUGAUACGAAGUGGCCCUCUUGGCAAAGAUAUGAAAUAACUCUCUUGGAAAUUUGAAAACAGUUUCACCUGAGUUUGUUUGCCCGUAUCUUGCUUUUUACAUGUACCUGUGCUUGAAGUAGACGAUUAGUAGACACAAAGUCUCUUUUGCUAGCGACCAUUUUUUAUAAAAAUUCUAAAUACAAUAUUCGUAAAGAAAAUAAAAUGCCUUUGUUUGUCCUCCAUGAUCUUAAAAAAUGAGAUAGACAAUUCAAAUGGUCCUCGAUAAAUGGGUAUUAAACCUAUUUUUGGGCUACCCAAAAAUACCAUUCUUAAGCAUUAUAUGUUCUGGCAUGGCUCCCGACUUACUUGGAGAUUUUUUGAAAGAAACACUCAUUUUUUAUAUCGAUCCCUGCAUCCACAGAAAAAUGAUUAGUUUGAAUAAAACUACUCCGUAUUGACUUUCUUGUCUGCUCGGUUUGCUCCUCGCUAUCUUUCAGGUGCCCCAUCACAUUGGUACCUCCACCCUGGCUCCUUACUCCCAUAGACUCCUAGGCAAUCAUUAAGUAAAAGAUUUGUAAAGAUUUUUUUUCAAAAGUAGCAUUAUUUUUAGCAAAUAGUUUUGAAAGUAUCUAUAAAAGCUUUAAAAAAUCUCUGUCAGUCAUGUCAUGUACUAGCUCAACAAACAUAUUCCUUGUGGCUUUGACUAUAUCUAAUGAUGAUUUUCAAAAAUCAUGGCCAUUGUUGGAGGGUUCUUCAAAUAGUUCUAUCAUAGCUAGAAAUUGAGUCCACCUAGACUUUGUCACAACUGGUGACUUUAAGAGCCUGGCUUUAACCUCUGGUGCCGAGGAAUUUGAAAUAUAUUCUAGUAUUUGGGUGGAAAUUUUGAGGCCUCCCUCAAAAUUUCUGCCCCAGUUUAAAGUAGUCUGAUUUGAUAUCAUCUCAAGUGGAUCUGAAGUCUUUUCUGAUCUUUAUUCUCUUUGUUGGAUGUUGAUCUUCUCUUGUGAGGUUUCAAGAUUCCUUCUCAAAAAUUUUGCCCCAGUUUCCAUUUCCUUGGGUUAUAUGACCGAGCCGUUGGAGUUCUUAUAUAUCCCAUUGAAUCAGGAAUUAGGUCAAACGUAGUUCAAGACUAUGCUAUGGAUAUACAAAAAGAAAUUAAUGGGUUGACCAAAGUCGACAUAGGCCUCCUAUGUAUCCCUUUCAUGGGAAUUCAGGUCAAACAUAGUUCAUACAUAAAGGGAAAGGACCAAUUUUCCUAAGGGGUUGACCGAAGAUGACAUAGGCCGCCUACAUAUCUCAUUCUUAGGAAUUCAGGUCAAAUGUAGUUCGUAUAUAAAGGGAAAGGAAAAUUAUUUCUAAGGGGUUGACCGAAGUUGACAUAGGCCACCAACGUAUCCCGUUCUUGGGAAUUCAGGUCAAAUGUAGUUUGUACAUAAAAGAAAAGGGAUUCUAGGUAGUUACGCAAUAGAAAACAACAUUACUACAAAGGCAAUAACAAGUAAACUAAGGAAACACAAAAACUAGAACAUCGUUCAAACAUAAUAUCUUUUUACUGCAUCAAAAUUGAUUGGUUUGGUCCACUCUUGACCAUCUAUUUUUGACAAAAUCAAAGCCACUCCAGAUAGUACCUUGCGAACUAUGUAUGGACCUUGCCAAUUUGGAGCGAACUUGCCCUUGUACUCUUCCUAGUGAGGAAAUAUGCACUUGAGAACCAAUUGCCCAACUUCGAAUGUUUGAGUUCUUACUUUCUUGUUAAAGGAAUGAACUAUCUUGUGCUGAUACAACUGACCAUGACAUAUAACAACCAUUCUAUUUUUAUCAAUCAAUAUGAGUUUUUCAUAGAGAGCGCGAACCCAUUCUUUGUUCCUUAGUUCGGCUUCCUGAAUAAUCCUUAGGGAACGUAUUUCAACCUCAACAGGUAUCAUAUCUUCAUUCCCAUAAACCAAUAGAUAAGGAGUCGCCCCGGUGGAGUUUCAAACUGUCGUGCGAUACCUUAGCAAAGCGUAAGGCAACAUCUCAUGCCAUGAUCUAUCAUUUUCGAUCAUCUUUGUCAAGAUCUUCUUGAUGUUUUUAUUGGCAGCUUCCAUGGCUCCAUUCAUCUGUGGACGAUAUGCAGUCGAGUUGUGAUGCACUAUUUUAAAUUGAUCACAAAUAUCAUUCAUCAAGUGACUAUUUAAGUUUGACCCAUUAUAAGUAAUGAUCGAUUCUGUCACUCUAAAUUGGCAGAUCAAGCUAUUCCUGAAGAAAUCUGCAACCACUUUCUUAGUGACGGCUCUAUAUAAAGCAGCUUCGACCCACUUAGUAAAGUAGUCAAUAGCAACCAAAAUAAAUCUAUGCCCAUUCGAUGCUGGUGGCUCUAUUGGUUUGAUAACAUCCAUGCCCCAAGCUAUGAAAGGCCAAGGUGAAUUCAUUGCAUGAAGCUCAUGUGGAGGCAUUCGAAUAAAAUCUCUGUGCAUCUGACAUUUUGGACACUUCUGCACAUACCUGCUACAAUUAUUUUCUAUAGUCAUCCAGAAGUAACCAGUUCUCAGGAUCUUUCUAGCAAGGGUGAACCCAUUUAUGUGGGGCCCACAAACUCCAGCAUGUACUUUUAUCAAUUUAUUGGCUUCCAAAACAUCGACACAUCUUAAGAAUCCCAAAUCUGGAGUCCUCUUAAAAAGGAUUUCCCCACUUGAAAAAUAGUUCUUCGCCAAACGCCGGAUUGUUUUCUUUUAGUUGUUACUGGCCUCUUCAGGAUAUAUUCUAGAUUCUAAAUACCUUUUGAUGUCAUAAUACCAUGGCUUUCCAUCUGUCUCCUCUUCAUUGUGUGUACAAUAGGUGGGUUGCUCCUUUAAGCUUAUUUUCAAAGGAUCAAUGUAACUCUGAUCUGGGUGCUGAAUCAUGGAGGAUAUAGUGGCCAAAGCGUCAGCAAACUCAUUUUGUAUCCUUGGGAUAUGUCUGAAAUCAACUUCUUUGAAUUUUCCACAUAAUUCCUGCACCAGCUUCACAUAAGGAGUAAUCUUAUAAUUUUUUACCGUCCAUUCUCCCCGUACCUGAUAAAUCAGUAAGUCUGAAUCCCCGAUGACUAACAAUUUAUGAACGCCUAUAUCAAGUGCCAAUUUGAGACCUAAGAUGCAAUCUUCAUAUUCGGUCAUGUUAUUGGUGCAUCGGAAAUGUAACUUAGUAGUUACCGGAUAGUGUUGACUCAUUUCUGACACCAAAACUGCUUCGAUUCCUAAACCUUUGAAGUUGAUCGCCCCAUCAAAGAAUUGCCUCCAGUAGGGGUAAAUUUUUGUAAUGUCUUAUCCUACGAAUAAAAUUUCUUCAUCUGGGAAAUAAGUUCAAAGUGGCUCAUAUUCAUCAUCAACCGGAUUCUCUGCCAAAUGAUCUGCUAAAGCUUGCCCCUUGAUUUCCCUUUGAGUUAUAUACACAAUGUCAAACUCACCCAGCAACAUUUGCUAUUUGGCUAGCUUUCCCGGGGGUAUAGCUUUCUGACAUAUAUACUUUAAUGGAUCUAUUCUCGAGAUAAGGUACGUGGUAUAUGAGGACAGGUAAUGCCUCAACUUACGUGGUAUAUGAGGACAGGUAAUGCCUCAACUUUUGUGCGGCCUAAGUAAAAGCGCAACAUGUCCUUUCUACGAGAGUGUAACGGGCUUCAUAUGGAGUAAAAUUUUUACUCAAGUAGUAGAUGGAUAUCUCUUUCCUAUUGGUCUCAUCAUGUUUCCCGAGGACAUAUCUGAAAGCAUUUUCUGAAACUGAUAGAUAUAGCGUCAAUGGAAUUGCUUCUCUGGGUGGAACCAAAACCGGUGGUGCAGACAAAUAUUCCUUGAUACGGUCGAAAGCUCUUUGACAUUUUUUUGUCCACUCAUUCAAUGCAUUUUUCUUCAACAUCUUGAGAAUUUGCUCGCAUAUGACUGUUGACUGAGCAAUGAACCUGCUAAUGUUAUUCAAAAAGCCCAUGAAACUCAUAACCUCCUUCUUGGUCCUCAGGGUGGCAAGUGCUGAAUUGUAUUAAUUUUGGAUGGGUCUAGCUCGAUGCCUCUCCUACUAACUAUGAAUCCCAGUAACUUCCCUGAUGGCACACCAAAAUCACACUUAGCAGGAUUUAACUUCAAAUUGUAUUUUCUUAAUCUAUUGAAGAAUUUCUCCAGAUAGGUCAGAUAAUCCAAACUCUCACGGGAUUUGUUAAUUACAUCAUCCACGUACACCUCAAUCUCUUUAUGAAUCAUAUCAUGGAAAAUUGUCAUCAUAGCCCUCAUAUAUGUUUCACCCAUAUUUUUGAGACCAAAAGGCACUACCUUGUAAUGAUAAACACCCCAGGGCGUAAUAAAAGCCGUCUUUUCUGCGUCUUCCUCAUCCAUCAAUAUCUGAUGAUACCCGGCAAAACAAUCAAUGAAAGAUUGCAUUACAUGUUUUGCAAAAUUAUCAAUGAGGAUGUGGAUGUUGGGCAGCAAAAAAUUAUCUUUAGGACUGGCUCUAUUCAAGUCUCUAUAGUCAACACAAAGUCGAAUCUUGACUUUUUUCUUUGGCACUGGGACAAUAUUGGCUAGCAUGUCGGAUAUUUUGUGACCUUCACAACCUUAGACUGGAUUUAUUUUGUCACCUCUUCCUUGAUAUUUAGACUUAAAUCUGGCUUGAAUUUCCGCAUUUUUUGCUUGACUAGAUCAAACUCAGGAUUUAUCGGCAACUUAUGUGACACAAUGAUGGUGCUCAAUCCCGGCAUACCAUCAUAGGACCAAGCAAACACGUUAAUGUAUUCCUACAAUAGGUGAAUGAGAUCUCUCUUUUAUGUUUCCACCAGUCUUUGAUUUCAUCAUGAUCUCCCAGGUUUACUGUUUCAAUUUCCUCUAGGUUGGGCUUCUCUCGGUUCUCAAACUCCUCUAUAUCUUCAACUAAUAGUUUCUCAUUACCUUUCUUUCAAUCAUCAUCAUUCCCCUCAUUUUGUUCAUCUAAGCUUUGACAUGACAUGACAUUGGCAGGUUUUGAGUUACUAUUACUAUAAUAAACAAACAAACCAAGUUAGAUGAUGAUAAGAUAAUAAUAAAAUAUAUGAAUAGUGGUGUUAAAAAUAUAUAUUUUUUUUUCAAAAUAAGGGAAGGCCUUUUCAUUGAAAUUUGAGAGAUAAUUACAAACUAUGGCUCAUGACUAGCGUAAAAACAAGCCCAUGCCUUUUGAAAGCAGUAAAAAUACGAAAACAAAUUAAGAUAUAAAGGGUGGAUCACGAGGUCUCCUCUAGUUUAUCACCGAUUUGAAAAACUACUAGUAAUUGCCCUUUCAUCUACCACGGUGGGUGAUGAGUUAUGAAUGGAGUGGAGGUCCAAUUUUGCAAGGCCUCCCCCGAUGCAAUCUUCUUCACCCCACUGGACUUUAGGAAAUCUUUUGGUACAACAUUGCAUUUCUCAAACAGAUUUCCUAUCCCAUCCCCAAGACCAUCAUCAUUUGGCAUCUCACACACGGGAAAUAAUUGAUACAGGAGGGUAAGGGACUAAACAGACUUGCCUCUGACUUAUUCUCAAUCUCAUUCUUCUUGGUAGUAUGAUAUCCCAACCCAUACUUAAAGGCUUAACGGGAUCAAUAAUUCCCUGCAGAUUCUUACCCAAACCUCGACCAGGCUCAAACCCACUUCUCAACAUCACAGUUGCAAUUAUUUUGUAGAAGAAGGCAUUGGAGCUUUGAGUGUCAGAUCCUUUUCCACAACAUUUAUAAUUUCCACUGUAUAGAAGCUACUACCCUUUGGAAUAUCUUCAAUCACUGGUACAUAACCAUUGGGAUAAUUUGCUCGGCUUUGUUCCCCUUAGAUGACUAUUUCAUGAUCCUCCCAAAUGAAUUUCAAUAACUGAUGAAGAGAUGAUAAAACUGCCUUUGCACCAUAUAUCCAUGGUCUUCCCAAAAGUAGGUUGUAACUAGGAUGAAUGUCCAUAACAUGAAACUUAGUCUUGAGUUCAGUAGGUCCCAUUUGGAUGUGUAAAUCAAUUUCACCUAUGGUAUCUCUUUACUUUACAUCAAAUGCUCUCACAUUUACGUGGCUUUAGAGAAUUUUCCCCAAGUCAUAGCCCAUUUGAACCAACGUGGAGAGAGGAUAAGUGUUCACACCAGAUUCGUCAUCUAUCAAUACCUGAUUAAUCACAUAGUCUCAACAAAUGAUAGUAACGUGCAAGGCCUUGUUAUGCAUCGCUCCUUCAAACGGCAACUCUUUAUCACUGAAUGAUAUGCGAUGACUUCCCACAAUAUUUCCUAUCAUCUUAGCCAGGUUCUCAACACUCGUCCCUGUGGGAACAUACGCUUCAUCCAAGACCUUUGAUAAAGCCAGUCGGUGGUAGCGAACUCAUUAAUAAUACCAAAAUAGAAAUUUGAGCCGGAGCCUUCUCUAAAUGUUUGACAAUUGAAUAGUCCUUUGGUUGCAUACGCCUCCAAAAUUCCUCAGCCUCCCCUUCAGUGAUUGGCCUUUUCUGUGAAUCUUUUUGUUGGUCAAUUCUUCAGGAAUGUAGCAUUGUCCAGAUUGGGUCAUCCCUUGGGAAGCAACGGUCUGUACAAUAAAUUCCUUCCUUAGCGGGGGAGUAUACACUUGAGUCAGGGCUGUCAUAACUAUAAAUGGGCCUUUCUCAUUAACACUUAAGACAACCACAACUCUCUCUAUCUUUUCUACCUCUUCCGCCCUUUUGUACUUUUCUGAAUUCACCUUAAUAAUAGUCUUGCCAGAUGCCCAUUCUCCUUAUAUUUCAAUCAUGUUAACAGUAGGUCCCCCAUGAUUAGGCAAUGGGUUACUGUUGACAUUUGGCAUCCGUGACUGAAGCGUGAUGACCUUUUGAUCAAUCAGAUCUUGUAUCUUAUGUUUUAAGAUAAUAUAGUCCUCGGUACUGCGCCCUACUGCUCCUGAAUGAUAGGCAUAAUUUUGAUUAGGUUGAUAAAAUUGGGAGUUGGGAUUGACAGGCUUUGGUUGGAUCUGUUGCAAAUGAUCAGCAUUCUUCAAUCUUUCAAAUAGUUGGGUACGACUUUCAGCCAGCGGCGUGAAGUUUCGGGGAGGUUUUUUUUUGAUGUUUGGACGCGGUGGGUUAUAAUGGUCCUGAUUUGCAGGAGGAGGCACUUGAUGAUAAUUUGGAGGUGCUUGGAUGUUUGUUCGGUUGUUUGAAAGAGUGGAUUGGACACGAGGCUGAUAAUUCGGCUGUGGACCUUGGUGUUGGGGAAAAAUAUUUGGCUGUAGAGCUUCACAUUGGGAUUUGACAUUUAGGAGUAGAGCUUGGUACUGGUGUUGGAUAUUUGGGAGUGGAGUUUGGUAUUAGGGUUGGAUAUUUGGGAAUGGAGCUUGAUAUUAGGGUUGAGUGUAGAAUACAUGAUGGAAGUUUGGUGACAGCGGAGAAGAGAAAAUAUUCCUAGAGUUGAACCUCUUUUUCAUUUUUGCAAUAGAAUCAGCAGAAAUUGUGCCUACAUCCUUAUUUUUCUUCUUCGAGAACAUAGCAGUCCCAGACGAUGUUGGGGUUUUGGUAAUUUUUUCUAUUCGAAUACCUUCUUCUAACGAUUCUCCUAUUUUUACCAAAUCUACAAAAGUCACUUAGACAGCGGACACCAUCCUGGUAUAAUAUUCUCCUUCUUGAGUGCGAGAGAAUACAUAUACCAUUUUUUCCUCAGACAUGGGGGGUUGCACUUUGGCAGCUUUUUUCCUUCAACGGAAAGCAUAGUUGCGAAAACACUCAUCACCCUUCUAUUUGAUCCGAUCUAAUGAAUAUCGGUCAGGGACUAUUUCAAUGUUAAAUGCGAACCUGUCAAGGAAACCCUUGGCCAAUGAUUUCCCACCAGUCCAUCUUUUUAGCUCCUGAGACAUGAACCACUCUAAGGCUUCGCCACUUAAACUUUGGCUGAACAGAUGCAUCAAUAAUGACUCAUUCUUUCCUACCCCCACCAUCUGAUCAUAAUACCUUUUUAGAUGGGCCAUUGGGUUUUCGGUACCGUCAAACACUUCAAACUUAGGGACCUUGUACCCUUCUGGUAGAUCUACUCUAGGGUGAACACAUAAAUCAUCAUACCCUAAACCGUCGUGGUCCCUAACUCUAUGAGAUUCUUUAACACUUAUGAUCUCUUCAUUUAUAGCUAACAGCUUCAUUUUAUGCUCGGUCCUCUACUCAUUCUCCUUCUCCUCGUAGUGGUCCAUCUCAGGAUUAGGAAGAGGAUUAUGGAUAUCAGGGGAUAUGAUAGAAUGAGGAGGAUUUGGAAGGGAGGUUUGAUUUUACAGAUGAAAAGAAGUUGGUUGGUAGGUGGGGAGGAUGUUUCAGAAAUUGGAAAGGUUCUGUGGAAUUUGCAAGUAGUUUGGUGGAAUCUGAGAAGGAUUUUGUGGAUUUGGAAAUGAAUUUAGUGGAUUCAGGGAUAGAUUUGAUGGAAGAUUCAGGGAUGGAUUUUGUGGAUUUGUGAGCGAAUCUUGUGGAUUUGGGUACGAAUUUUGUUGAUUUAAAAAUGGGUUCUGGAGAUUUGGGAAUGGAUUCGGAGAUGGGUUUUGUAGGGUUAGAGAUGGAUUUUGUGGAUGAUAGACAUCUGGGUUAUUUUCACGAUUGGUGUUUUGGACAAUUUGAGGAACGGAGAUGGACGAUGCGUUAUUUGGAUGAUUCCCGAGAAUAGGCGUACUGUGAGGAGAAAUUUGGAGUGGAGUCCUGUGUCCUCCUGGAGCGGGAGCAUUAACAGUGAUGGCUAGGUUAUCCAAAUCUCGAGUGCAAUUUAUUUCCUCCUAAAACAUUUUUAACUUCCUUCCAAUCUCUAUAAUCAUCUCAUUCUAUUCUGCUAUUACAUUGUCUCUGAUGGUCAAUGUGUUUUAUUCAUCAUUUCCAGUCAUUAUUGAAUGAUGGUCAGAGGAUGAGAUUUGGUGCGCCUUUGAAUGGGUGAAGUAGGGAUGUUCUUCCAGCUUAUAUCAACAUGGAGUAGUUUCUAUUAUCUGUAAAGUAAAACAACUCAAAGGCAAAUGUGUUAGUUUUCGUAUGUGAUAAGUAAUGCAAAAUAUUUGACAAGAAAUAACCAUAUAGAGUUGUUCGAGUCAUAGCCAAAUUCAUCCAUAGCGGAUAAACUUGCCUUUGAUCCACACAUAAGCACAUAAGACAAUUAUAUUAGACAAAACAUUAUAAUAAUGUGUAUCCUAACUGAGGUGACCCUUUUUGAGCCAAGGGUGCAGGCCUAAUGAUUUUGAAAAAUAUAUGCUUCCUUAAAGUCAAUCCAUUAUCCCCCAACUUAUAUAGACACGAAAAGGGAAUAAAUGCCUACAAAAGAUAACAAAAGAGGGAUACAAUCUUUAGGGAAAAAGGGAAAUAACAUGAAAUAAGAUAAGUUCCCACGCAAGGGAAAUAGAAAAACUAGCUACCGGAGGCUCCUUCGCAUGCCUUUGCAUUCUUUUCCUUGUUCCCCUCCUAUGUUAUUUGAUACUUAUUGAUGAUCAGAUGACUCCCGCAUAACUAUUCCUUACUAUCAUAAGUCAUUUUUCCUAUACUAUCGAGUUGGGAGGCCAUGCUAUCAUCCAAAUCGAUUAAACACUGCCUAGCAUCAUCAACCUCUUUUCUAGCUCUUUUCAACUCUUCACUCAACAUACGUAUUGUUAAAACAUCUUCUAUAUGCAUCUAUUGGUGUGUGAUUUCACUUUUCUGAAACUCAUCUUGAAGCUUGUGGAGUUGGAUUUGAUGCUUGGAUUCUACAUCCACGACCCGAGUGGGCACGUUCGACCCCAGAAUCAAUGCUCCGAAGAGGCUCUUUUUUAACCAAUCCUUAUAAGUGUUUCUGACUUCGGGUUCAUACCCUAUACGAAAAGAGACUUCCGUUCACCUUCUUCUUUUCCAUCCGUUUAUCAUGUAGUCUUUGAGCGGGGGCUCACUUUCAUCAUACUCGGUGAAGAAUCUGAGCAUAAAAUUAGUUUGAGGUGUCUUCUGCUUGAUCUCAAAUUUCCUAAGAACUCUGCCACGAUUGUAGGGACGGAUUCCCCUGAGACCCAAAAGUACUAGAAAAGGCCACUCGCCCCAUCAAAUAGUGUAUUAAUUUGAACAAAGGUAGUUAAUGGACCAUUGCACAUCGUCAUCCCUUAAUUCUCCAAGAGUCUUAAACCAAAAUUCAUGAGAUGUUUCCCUUUUGAACUUGUGUAGGAACAACCACAUGUCGUGCGAUUUUAGCUGAUUCCUUCUUGUUUUGUUAUCAGGUUGUACCAUUCUAGGAUUUUUCACUAGAUGCAUCAUCAUCCACUAUUACAAUAUAAGGUUGCAACCUUGAAAGAAAUGAUUCACGACUUGACAUCUUCCCAAAGCUCGAUAUAUGUCUGCGACAAUCAUGAGAGCUAAGUUGUGGAAUACCUUUUUAGAAUUGUACUCCAAUCCAAAGAAGAGUGCAUGGGUCACUGAGACAACCCUUGGAUGACUUAUGCCAUUUUCCCACUAAGGGAACACUAUGGUUCCAAGUAGGCCCACCGCAAAUGCAAAGGCUCUCGUCUCCUUCCAUUUUGCUUCUGACUCAAAUUUAUGUCCAAAUUUGUGAAAAGCAUUGAAUCUUCCGAAUUGAUGAUAUAACUCAUGAAAAGUGAUAUUUGCUCCAUCACAUUCUCCUAGACAUGUGUCAUCGUUAGUUAAAAAUACCUCCUUGAUUUUUUGAUGAUCCCAUACAACUGGGACUAAAAUGUUCUUAUCAGGUAUAUCCCUUCUCUUAAAACAUAUUUCAGUACUCUCGUAACAAAUCAACACCUCUUCAAUGGUAGGAGUCAAUUCAACAUCCCCAAAGCGAAAUACCAUAUUCUGAUCAUCCCAAAAAGUUGUUAGUACAUGGAUCAUUUCAGGCCAAACGUCCAUCUCGAUCAAAGAAGAGAGAUGCCCGAUGGGUAUUCUAACAAUCUUUCUCUCUUCUGCGCUCAUGUGAUCCCACCAUAAUUUUAAGAAAUCGUCGGGUUUAGUAACCAUCUUGAACUUUUUAUGGGAAUUUAGUUGAGCCAUAUCCUACGCGAAAGCAAAUAAAGAUAAGCCUUCCCCUGACCCCAAAGGGCAAUGGAUUGAAUUAGACAAGCAUAUAUUUUUUCAACACAUAAAUAUGAUUCAUCUAUAAUUGACUCGGGGUCAAUAGACGCAGAUUUUCUAAUGGGCCCAAUAUCCCGCUCGGGUAUUGGGUCGUCCUAGGCUCAUGCCUAAAAUAGGGUUUUGGUUUCGUUCUAUCCAUGGUGUCUAGAGUGGGUUUGAACAUUGGUUCUCAAGCGAACAACUUGAGUUUGAAAAUACGAACAACCAUCAGACGACUCACGUGCUAAUAAGUUGUUCGUAUUUCCAACACAUUUUGGAAUUGAACAACAGGGCUGGGACAUCCAUGAAACCCCAAAACAGUUUAAAUAAUGCAGGAAUAUACCAUGAGAUGAGAUAGUUAUACUUUACAGAAUUGAAACAUAUAAACACAUAAAGAGUUAAUCAAAAGAUGGAAUCAAACAUUUGGUUAGAACCUACUUAAAAAAUCCCCAGCAGAGUUGCCAUUUCUGUUUGCGGAGAAAGUUUGACUUUUUCAGAAGAGUCGCCACUUAAUUUUGAAAAGGAAUUAAGAAACCUUUAUAAAGUACUUUGAAUGAUCCAAAAUAGAAAAAUCGUUCUAAGUUAGAGAUUCUGAAUAAGCGAUUUCUAUUAACGUUUUAGGAAGGUGUUAGGCACCUAAAACGUCCUCUAACUUGUGGUUAUCCAGACUGUUUGAAAAUGUCUUUUGAUUAACUUCAAAAAGAUUAAUUUGUUGAAAAGUAGUUGAUUAAGAAAUUUUUUUUGCAAAAUCAGUUUUUUAGAGACUUAGUUAGGGAUUCAACUAGGUUCGCAAGAAAUAUGUAAACAAGUAAAUGAAAGGAAAAGUGGAGAAAAAUGGGUAAGUAGUGAUUUAGGCUUUCAAGCCCAAGCCAUCGGCCCUGUACUAAUCUAGUUGGGAAUUUUGACCCAUUUUCACAUGUCCUAAUUCUAUGUUUUCGAGCCCUUUUGGAUCGAGCUUGCUUCACCCGUAUUAAGUAAAACUUUGGCUUCGAGGCCCAAAAUACAUGAAUAUUGAAAUGAAGAAAUAAUAAAAUAAAUAAAGACAACAACAAGUAAAUGAAUAAAAUAACAAAUGAGACUUUUGAGUCUCUUAGCAGCUUCAAAGAUGGAUUCCGAUCCAAUUAUUUGCUCUCAAUUCCUUGCAUUCACAUGGCAUGUAAUUGAUUUGGACUUUCUUUCAGGAUUUGACUCGAAAGGUAGGCUUCAUUGGCCCAUGAUGGACAUGAGAAGGGAAGAGAGUCCGUGUGGGACUCGAGUGUACCCAUAUGCCAAAAGGAAAAAUAAAGAAAUUAAAGUAUGCUAAAAUGUGUAUAAAGACUAGGAUAAAUUGAACGGACUAUCACUAAUCGUAAAAGCAAGCAACACUGAAAACUUAAAUUAAACAUUGGUAUUAAUAAAAUGCACAAAAAGACCAACAUUUGACGUUUGAACUAAAUGCAUGAAAAAGGCUAUCAUUUAUGCUAGACCUGAUGCGGAAAAAAUAAGUAUAGAGAAUCUACAGAAAUGUGAGGAAAUUACCCCCUUAUAUUUUAAAUAAAUAUCAAUGAUUAAACAAAUACCAAUAAAUCAAGACAGGGAAGUUCAGAGAAAAAUCCCAUCAGGAAAUAUCUAAAGCAAGACAUUCAGAUAGUAGUUCAAACAAGGAUAGAAGAAACUUGCAGAUUCAGUGAUAAAGAAAGAUUUUUUUCCGGAUGAACAACAAAUAAAUAAAAGGAAAUUAUAAAGGAUUGCAAAACAUUCUGCCAAUUUCGGACUUAGCAUGCACUUGUUUAAAGCUUGCUAUCAUUUUUCACUAAGGAAAAAAUCUUAUAGAACCUUAGAAUCAAGCUAUUCAAGCAGACAAUGCACCCAUGCCAAACAAAAUUGAUUCGAAAUCACCCUAAGUUUUUCUCUACGUUAACAUUCCUAAAGAUCCAUAAUAUUAUAGUAUUUUAACUACUUCUUCCAAAGAAAG